Molecule: long non-coding RNA, 1014 nt
Organism: Peromyscus leucopus (white-footed mouse)
Lineage: Eukaryota; Metazoa; Chordata; Mammalia; Rodentia; Cricetidae
Exons: 2
Source: RefSeq, a predicted model, not a curated record
CUUCCCCAGACCCCGCGACCUACCUAUCCCUUCAUUUAAGUUUUGAGGCCUGGAGUGCUUCCAGUGGAUGGCGAUCAGAACGACCUUCUAAGGUCCUCACUGGCUGAGAAGGCCUGAGCCACUUCUGUCAACAGGAGAAAACUCCUUUCGGGGUUCUGAUUGUUCCCCAGACACCAGAGACACUGAAAGAACUCGCUCAGAUCUGUCACCUGGUAUGGUCACAGGGUGUAGAGAACCGGUCUUCUAUGGACAUGUGGAGGACAAUGAGGUCCAGAGAGGAGGAGUGACUUACUCCAAGUCACACAGCCUGUGAGGGGCAGCCAGGCUUUGGUUUUGCCUCUCUCAUUUGGUCAUCCCUUGGGCUGGAGGCCUAGCCAAGUGGUGCACUUUCUGGCCUCAAGCCCCAGCCUUGAAAACCUGGAUGACUCUGGGAUAAGGCUAGUGCUGCAUUUAUUUAAUUAAUUGAUAUUUAAUUAAUUGAUAUUUACUCAUUUAAAUUUAUAUUGAUUAAUUUUGUUCUUUGACAGUUUUAUACAUGUAUAUAUUCCGAUCACCCUAUCCCUCUUUUCUAGCUCUAUCAAUCCUUCUUCCCUCAUCCCUACCAAUCCAGAGUCAGCACUUUUGGUUUUAUUUUCUAUCUAGUUAAUUAGCUCAGUUUUUGGAAAUAGAGUUUCAUGAUGUAGGGCAGGCUGGCCUUAAACUUAAGAGAUCCUCCAGCCUUCGCCUCUGCCUUUGGGAUGCUGAGGUUAAAGGCAUGGACCACCAUACCUGUCCUAUUUAAUUUUCGAAGAAGGUUUUCAUGUACUCCAGACUGGCCUCAAACUCACUACAUAAUUGAAGAUGGCCUUGAACUUCUGAUUCUCCUGCUUCCUCCUCUCUCAUGCCAAGAUAACAGGCCUGUGCCACACAUGUUGUUUAUGUGGUGCUUGAGGCUGAACCUUCAAGUACAUGUAGGCAACCACUCUGUCAUUUCAUCAGUUCCUAUAAAUAAUUAAAAUCAAUCUUCUUACUUUU